RNAcentral lists this ribosomal RNA (240 nucleotides) under uncultured bacterium. Its description in RNAcentral is "partial 16S ribosomal RNA". It matches the Rfam family "Bacterial small subunit ribosomal RNA", at positions 796 to 1041 of the family's 1533-position model. RNAcentral also lists the same sequence under 1 other name. The record is from RNAcentral.
CACACGGUAAACGAUGAAUACUCGCUGUUUGCGAUAUACUGCAAGCGGCCAAGCGAAAGCGUUAAGUAUUCCACCUGGGGAGUACGCCGGCAACGGUGAAACUCAAAGGAAUUGACGGGGGCCCGCACAAGCGGAGGAACAUGUGGUUUAAUUCGAUGAUACGCGAGGAACCUUACCCGGGCUUAAAUUGCAGAUGAAUUACGGUGAAAGCCGUAAGCCGCAAGGCAUCUGUGAAGGUGC